UUGUGUAGACUCAAAACAUCACAAAGUUGUGAAUUUAAAUUUAUUUUGAAAAAAGAUAAAUAUUGAUAAGAGUACCCACAAUGAGUCAACUCAAAAAAUGUAUUGUGAUGAUCUUGAUGAUAAUGAUAUUUACGAUACAAGUUGAAGGCAUCACUGAAUCUCAAAAUUUUAAGCCAAAUAAGUCACAAUUUUUAUGUAAACUAAAGUGUGGUUUUAAGUGUUCAUCCCCCAAAGAAAUUGGUCAUUAUGAUAGGUGCAUGUUUGCUUGUAUGGCAGAACACCACUGCAAUGCUUCUUCGCAUGAGUAAUGGUGCUCGUGUGCUUCUAGCGAUAUAUAUCAUGCUAGCGUGCUUACAAACAUUUCUUCAAAUUUGGAAAGUUCUAAUAGUUACUAAAUAAUUUGUAUGUUUGCAUGACGCUAUUUAAUAAAAUGUAAUGAUAAAAAUUGAUAUUGAAUCAAAUUCAAAUAAAUGAAUUUAAAUUUAUCA
This is a long non-coding RNA of Lathyrus oleraceus (garden pea), 488 nucleotides long. RefSeq lists it as uncharacterized. The transcript has 2 exons. The record is from RefSeq and is a predicted model, not a curated record. NCBI's taxonomy places the organism in Eukaryota, Viridiplantae, Streptophyta, Magnoliopsida, Fabales, Fabaceae.